AUCGAAAGCUUGCUUUUGAUGGGCGUCGACCGGCGCACGGGUGAGUAACGCGUAUCCAACCUGCCCACCACUUGGGGAUAACCUUGCGAAAGUAAGACUAAUACCCAAUGAUAUCUCAAGAAGACAUCUGAAUGAGAUUAAAGAUUUAUCGGUGAUGGAUGGGCAUGCGUUGUAUUAGCUGGUUGGUGAGGUAACGGCUCACCAAGGCUACGAUCAGUAGGGGUUCUGAGAGGAAGGUCCCCACAUUGGAACUGAGACACGGUCCAAACUCC
RNAcentral lists this ribosomal RNA (272 nucleotides) under uncultured Bacteroidales bacterium. RNAcentral describes it as "partial 16S ribosomal RNA". It matches the Rfam family "Bacterial small subunit ribosomal RNA", at positions 67 to 339 of the family's 1533-position model. Lineage: Bacteria; Pseudomonadati; Bacteroidota; Bacteroidia; Bacteroidales. The record is from RNAcentral.